AUCACUUUAAAAUAGGAAGCUUGUAUCGUAGAAUCAGAGGCAGUCUUGGGCAGGUUGCUAUCAAAAGAAUCAAACGGCUAAUUUCUAAUCUCACUUAUUAUUUCUCCUGUUGACAUUACUUUCACAAUUUCACAUUUCCUGUUUCACAUUUUUGUAGACUCCUUACUCCUCCUUCACUCGACAACACACGUCCCCAGCUGUAUCGUGGCCCAUCUUUGAACCUGAAAUGAUGCAAAUUGGUGGAUCAUCGCCAUUAUCGAACACAAGCCCACUAAAUGUCUCUAAUAUUAACCAAAGUUUCCAGCAGGUCUCCAAAAUACACACAUCUCCAACACAAAUGGAUCCUUUUUAUACUCAAGGGCUUGACAUCUUACAUUACUGAGGCAGUGCUCUGCAACCAGACGGCCUUCCUGUCAUCAAGCCUUACCUAGUUUUCAAGUAAGCAUUCUUUUAUUUCCCAUCCAAGUCCUACGACUGGCACCCUGCCG
Molecule: long non-coding RNA, 488 nt
Organism: Octopus sinensis (East Asian common octopus)
Lineage: Eukaryota; Metazoa; Mollusca; Cephalopoda; Octopoda; Octopodidae
Exons: 3
Source: RefSeq, a predicted model, not a curated record